Drosophila mauritiana is the source of this 1089-nucleotide long non-coding RNA. RefSeq lists it as uncharacterized. The record is from RefSeq and is a predicted model, not a curated record. Lineage: Eukaryota; Metazoa; Arthropoda; Insecta; Diptera; Drosophilidae. The transcript is spliced from 3 exons.
UGUCCCUUUUCAUUUGCAGUCAGCGAUAGCUAACAACGUUGCUGUUUUCCGUGCCGAGAAAAGAGAUAGCUAUAGAGACAUGAGGAAGAGAGGCACUACAACAAAAUGCAACGUGCGCACAUCUGGCAAAUAAGAGUUGAGUAGGAGAGAGACGGCUAUGGAAGAAAGAAAAGUGUACCCUAUCCCCUUGAAAGUCUUUUUGAAGUUUUGGUUGGUUGUUUAAAAUAUCGUGGGCAACUUUAACAUUAUGGAUUCAGCGAUAAUAACGGUGGAAAAUAAAACUGAAUUUAUAUAAACAUAGAUUGCAAUAUAACCAUAUUCAGGAAGGUCAAACAUCAUCCGGAGUUCAAAAAGCCUUGCCUUUCCUGUUACGGGGUCGGCAUGACUUGGGCUUGAGAUAAAGUUUGAAUUGUUAACUUUAAAGAGAAAUUAAACCCCCAACUAACAGCGUUCGAAACCUAAACCACCCCAAAAAGCCACCACUGAGCUUACUUGCUCUCAACAUCCUGUCCGACACGUUUUUUGGAUUUUUGAAGUCACACGCAUCAACGAAUCUAUUUCCCCUUCCACCACAUUUCCCAUUAUUUUAGUGCCGGCAUCCAGUGUGCUGGGCUUCUUCAAAGGGGCAUAUUCUUGAAUCGCCUUUUUGUCAUUCCUAUUGCGUGUGCCAAAAAUUUCAUGGCGCAUUGUAAAGGUGACGAAUCUGAUUUUCCUGGAAUGUGUGAAAAUACCAUACUUUAUGUUAUUUAGCGUAGUGUCUGGGCUGCAACAAAUCCAAAUACUAGUAGAGUUUCUAUCGAUAUGCUAAACAACAAUUUGGCUACGUCUACUAUGGGCUUUACCCCCAAAAAGGCAAAAACUCUAAAACCCACGCUUUUGUAAAUUUGUUCGAUGUUUCUUUAUUUCAAUAUUUUUACGCCAAAUUCUAUUAAUGUGAAAAAUAGAAUUUUGAACUUUCUCGAUCACACUACCACGAGCUGAGUAAGUGGUAUCUAAGAGAGUAGACUUUAGCUUUCUCUUUUGUUUUUCCCGAUACUCGUAGAGUAAAGGGGUACACUAGAUUCGUUGAAAAGUACGUAACAGACAGAA